GAGGGAAUAUUGGUUAAUGUGCGAAAGCGCGAACCAGCAACGCCGCGUGUACGAAGAAGGCCUUCGGGUUGUAAAGUACUUUUCACCGGGAAGAGGAAGGACGGUACCGGUGGAAUAAGUCUCGGCUAACUAGGUGUCAGCAGCCGCGGUAACACGUAGGAGACGAGCGUUAUCCGGAUUUACUGGGUGUGAAGCGCGUGCAGGCGGUCUGUUAAGUUGGAUGUGAAAGCUCCCGGCUAAGCUGGGAGAGGUCGUUCAAAACUGGCAGGCUAGAGUGUGGUAGAGGGGAGUGGAAUUCCGAGUGUAGCGGUAAAAUGCAUAGAUAUUCGGAAGAACACCAGUGGCGAAGGCGACUUCCUGGACCACAACUGACGCUCAGACGCGAAAGCCAGGGUAGCAAACGG
Molecule: ribosomal RNA, 404 nt
Filed under: uncultured bacterium
Lineage: Bacteria
Description: bacterial SSU rRNA
Rfam family: Bacterial small subunit ribosomal RNA
Source: RNAcentral